GGGCCCGCACAAGCGGUGGAGCAUGUGGUUUAAUUCGAUGAUACGCGAGGAACCUUACCAGGGCUUAAAUGUAGAGCGACAGAGGUGGAAACACCUCCUUCUUCGGACGGUCUACAAGGUGCUGCAUGGUUGUCGUCAGCUCGUGCUGUGAAGUGUCGGGUUUAAGUCCCAUAACGAGCGCAACCCCUAUUUCUAGUUGCCAGCGUUCGGCCGGGGACUCUAGAGAAACUGCCAGCGUAAGCUGUGAGGAAGGUGGGGAUGACGUCAAAUCAUCACGGCCCUUACGUCCUGGGGCCACACACGUGCUACAAUGGUGGAGACAGAGAGUUGGCCAACCCCCGCGAGGGUG
This 349-nucleotide ribosomal RNA is filed under the name uncultured bacterium. RNAcentral describes it as "bacterial SSU rRNA". It matches the Rfam family "Bacterial small subunit ribosomal RNA", at positions 917 to 1265 of the family's 1533-position model. The record is from RNAcentral.